Molecule: ribosomal RNA, 407 nt
Filed under: uncultured bacterium
Lineage: Bacteria
Description: bacterial SSU rRNA
Rfam family: Bacterial small subunit ribosomal RNA
Source: RNAcentral
AAUUUUGCGCAAUGGGCGAAAGCCUGACGCAGCAACGCCGCGUGGGUGAAGAAGGCCUUCGGGUCGUAAAGCCCUUUUGUUAGGGAAGAAGUUCUGACGGUACCUAAUGAAUAAGCCUCGGCUAACUACGUGCCAGCAGCCGCGGUAAUACGUAGGAGGCGAGCGUUAUCCGGAUUUAUUGGGCGUAAAGAGCGCGUAGGCGGCCUAUUAAGUCGGUUGUGAAAUCUCUCGGCUUAACUGAGAGGGGUCAACCGAAACUGGUGGGCUUGAGGACAGAAGAGGGAGGUGGAAUUCCCGGUGUAGUGGUGAAAUGCGUAGAUAUCGGGAGGAACACCAGUGGCGAAGGCGGCCUCCUGGGCUGUUCCUGACGCUGAGGCGCGAAAGCGUGGGUAGCAAACAGGAUUAGA